ACAUGCAAGUCGAACGCGUCUCCGUUGAUGAUUUCAGGUGCUUGCACCUGACAUAUUUAACAUUGAGACGAGUGGCGAACUGGUGAGUAACACGUGGGUAACCUGCCCUUGAAGUAGGGGAUAACACUUGGAAACAGGUGCUAAUACCGUAUAACAACCAAAACCACCUGGUUUUGGUUUAAAAGACGGCUUCGGCUGUCACUUUAGGAUGGACCCGCGGCGUAUUAGCUUGUUGGUAAGGUAACGGCUUACCAAGGCGAUGAUACGUAGCCGACCUGAGAGGGUAAUCGGCCACAUUGGGACUGAGACACGGCCCAAACUCCUACGGGAGGCAGCAGUAGGGAAUCUUCCACAAUGGACGAAAGUCUGAUGGAGCAACGCCGCGUGAGUGAUGAAGGGUUUCGGCUCGUAAAACUCUGUUGUUGGAGAAGAACAGGUGUCAGAGUAACUGUUGACAUCUUGACGGUAUCCAACCAGAAAGCCACGGCUAACUACGUGCCAGCAGCCGCGGUAAUACGUAGGUGGCAAGCGUUGUCCGGAUUUAUUGGGCGUAAAGCGAGCGCAGGCGGUUUCUUAGGUCUGAUGUGAAAGCCUUCGGCUUAACCGGAGAAGUGCAUCGGAAACCGGGAGACUUGAGUGCAGAAGAGGACAGUGGAACUCCAUGUGUAGCGGUGAAAUGCGUAGAUAUAUGGAAGAACACCAGUGGCGAAGGCGGCUGUCUGGUCUGUAACUGACGCUGAGGCUCGAAAGCAUGGGUAGCGAACAGGAUUAGAUACCCUGGUAGUCCAUGCCGUANACGAUGAGUGCUAAGUGUUGGAGGGUUUCCGCCCUUCAGUGCUGCA
This 842-nucleotide ribosomal RNA is filed under the name uncultured bacterium. RNAcentral's name for it is "bacterial SSU rRNA". It matches the Rfam family "Bacterial small subunit ribosomal RNA", at positions 53 to 850 of the family's 1533-position model. The record is from RNAcentral.